RNAcentral lists this ribosomal RNA (497 nucleotides) under uncultured bacterium. RNAcentral describes it as "partial 16S ribosomal RNA". It matches the Rfam family "Bacterial small subunit ribosomal RNA", at positions 28 to 507 of the family's 1533-position model. The record is from RNAcentral.
GAUGAACGCUGGCGGCGUGCCUAAUACAUGCAAGUCGAGCGAACAGACGAGGAGCUUGCUCCUUUGAUGUUAGCGGCGGACGGGUGAGUAACACGUAGGUAACCUACCUAUAAGACUGGGAUAACUUCGGGAAACCGGAGCUAAUACCGGAUAAUAUUUCGAACCGCAUGGUUCGAUAGUGAAAGAUGGCUUUGCUAUCACUUAUAGAUGGACCUGCGCCGUAUUAGCUAGUUGGUAAGGUAACGGCUUACCAAGGCAACGAUACGUAGCCGACCUGAGAGGGUGAUCGGCCACACUGGAACUGAGACAAGGUCCAGACUCCUACGGGAGGCAGCAGUAGGGAAUCUUCCGCAAUGGGCGAAAGCCUGACGGAGCAACGCCGCGUGAGUGAUGAAGGUCUUCGGAUCGUAAAACUCUGUUAUUAGGGAAGAACAAACGUGUAAGUAACUGUGCACGUCUUGACGGUACCUAAUCAGAAAGCCACGGCUAACUACGUG